RNAcentral lists this long non-coding RNA (425 nucleotides) under Pan troglodytes (chimpanzee). RNAcentral's name for it is "lincRNA". The record is from RNAcentral. Lineage: Eukaryota; Metazoa; Chordata; Mammalia; Primates; Hominidae.
CUGCUCAAGAUCGGCUGAAGGAAGCAAAGCUACAUUUCUUGUUUUCUGGUUCCUAUGAACAGAAGCAGAAUUUUUUCACAACAGAAAGUGAAGCAACGAAGUUUUGAGGGUUGCUCCUCAUUUAAUGAUGUGGGAUCUUGUUAUGUUACCCAGGCUGGAGAGCAGUGGCUAUUCACAGGUGUGAUAGACACACUAUGACCUGGAACUCCUGGCCUCAAGUGACCCUCCUGCCUUAGCCUCUCAAGCAGCUGGGACUAUAGGCUCCUGACACCAUAUCCAGCUGAACCUGAUUUUAUAUUCCAGUGGCUGACAAACUAACUCCUCCGAACUACAGAUUCUACCCACCUAAUUUUUGCCAGUUUGUAUGCAAAAGAACAACUUAUCACUUUUUAUUUUCAAGUCACUUCCCUCCAACCAUGUACGUU